RNAcentral lists this unclassified non-coding RNA (528 nucleotides) under Hevea brasiliensis (rubber tree). The record is from RNAcentral. Lineage: Eukaryota; Viridiplantae; Streptophyta; Magnoliopsida; Malpighiales; Euphorbiaceae.
AUUUGUUUGAGUCGUGGCACUGCCUGUAAAUUAUAAUCAAAAUAGAUGCACAAAGGUUACUUAAGAUUUCAUUUGGUAAAAAAAGAAUAUAUAUAUAGUACAAAAUAUCAAAUUUUAUUUUUUGUUAAAAUUUAAACUUUUAUCUGUCAAUUGUUAAAAAAGACACAAGUAUUUUAUAUUUAAAAUAAUUAAUGAGGAAUAAUUGAGAAAAGAUUUAUAAUUAACAAUAUGUUGACUGCUUCAUUUGGGAGGAGUGUAAGGAGGCAAAGUUUGGUGUGUAAGUAAAGUAUGGUAAUAUGAUAAAAGGUAAGGUAAGGGUUUUUAAUAUUACGUUAUUUGGGAUGAAAUUAAGGCAAAUGAUAGUUUACUAACCUUAUGUUGUAUGGAUCAAAGGCAUGAAAGGUAGAGAUAGGUAAUAAUUAAUAUUUAAUUUACAAAAACCUUCACAACACCCUAAUUUGGUGGGCUAAGAAACUGAAGGUUUUUGAAAUUUUAAAAACCUCUAAAAACCCUCAAAAACCUUACCUU